This 160-nucleotide ribosomal RNA is filed under the name Cratylia sp. 'Naranjal'. RNAcentral describes it as "5.8S ribosomal RNA". It matches the Rfam family "5.8S ribosomal RNA". Rfam says of the family: 5.8S ribosomal RNA (5.8S rRNA) is a component of the large subunit of the eukaryotic ribosome. It is transcribed by RNA polymerase I as part of the 45S precursor that also contains 18S and 28S rRNA. Functionally, it is thought that 5.8S rRNA may be involved in ribosome translocation. The record is from RNAcentral. Lineage: Eukaryota; Viridiplantae; Streptophyta; Magnoliopsida; Fabales; Fabaceae. RNAcentral also lists the same sequence under 1 other name.
GCAACGGAUAUCUCGGCUCUUGCAUCGAUGAAGAACGUAGCAAAAUGCGAUACUUGGUGUGAAUUGCAGAAUCCCGUGAACCAUCGAGUCUUUGAACGCAAGUUGCGCCUGAAACCAUUAGGUUGAGGGCACGUCUGCCUGGGUGUCACACAAUGUUGUC